UACUGCCCUUGACUUUGGGAUAACUUCAGGAAACUGGGGCUAAUACCGGAUAGGAGCUCCUGCUGCAUGGUGGGGGUUGGAAAGUUUCGGCGGUUGGGGAUGGACUCGCGGCUUAUCAGCUUGUUGGUGGGGUAGUGGCUUACCAAGGCUUUGACGGGUAGCCGGCCUGAGAGGGUGACCGGCCACAUUGGGACUGAGAUACGGCCCAG
Molecule: ribosomal RNA, 209 nt
Filed under: uncultured Actinomycetales bacterium
Lineage: Bacteria; Bacillati; Actinomycetota; Actinomycetes; Actinomycetales
Description: partial 16S ribosomal RNA
Rfam family: Bacterial small subunit ribosomal RNA
Source: RNAcentral